UACGAAGGGGGCUAGCGUUGCUCGGAAUCACUGGGCGUAAAGCGCACGUAGGCGGUCUUUUAAGUCAGGGGUGAAAUCCUGGAGCUCAACUCCAGAACUGCCUUUGAUACUGGGAGUCUUGAGUUCGGGAGAGGUGAGUGGAACUGCGAGUGUAGAGGUGAAAUUCGUAGAUAUUCGCAAGAACACCAGUGGCGAAGGCGGCUCACUGGCCCGAUACUGACGCUGAGGUGCGAAAGCGUGGGGAGCAAACAGG
RNAcentral lists this ribosomal RNA (253 nucleotides) under uncultured bacterium. RNAcentral describes it as "partial 16S ribosomal RNA". It matches the Rfam family "Bacterial small subunit ribosomal RNA", at positions 524 to 776 of the family's 1533-position model. The record is from RNAcentral.